Molecule: long non-coding RNA, 1496 nt
Filed under: Gallus gallus (chicken)
Lineage: Eukaryota; Metazoa; Chordata; Aves; Galliformes; Phasianidae
Description: lncRNA (ENSGALG00010009604.1)
Source: RNAcentral
AAUUUCUCAGUUGCAGAGGCAGAGAGGAAGAAAGGUCCAGUGCAUACUUGUCUUCCUUCCUUUGCAGUCUGUGCAUAUGCUAGUCUGAAAGCAGUAAUCCACUUUACCAAAUCAAGUUAUUUUUAAAAAAUUUUCUGGGAACUGAAGCUGCUGUACCUUUUUCUAAGGUUUCUAAAUAAUAAACAUUUGAAUUUGGUUCUGUGAAAUGAAAUUAUUCUGUUGAGGAGGACGGUUGCUGGUUUGUUCCAGUCUACAGCUGAGAGAGGCUUUCCCACUCAAUCUCUUCUUUUAUGCCAUUUCUUGGAUUUGCAGUCACCUUUGACAUACUAUUGCCACAUUUUAUUAAAGAAAAUAUAUCAGAGUUCUGGAUGAGUCAUUUUCUGCGGAGGAAAGCUGGAUUUAUGGUUUUGAAGAUCCAGCUUUGAACAGGCAGAAGUAUUUUCUUAUUAAUUCAGCCUGAUGAAAGUGAUUGGUGUGCAGAAGCUUAACUAAGUCCUUAUGUACUCGACUUGUUAUCCUUUGGGAAUUGGAAUGUCAUGUUUUCUCAGAAAUAUACUGAAGUCCUGCACCAGUCAUUUAUGAUAAAUCUCAGUGGUUUGCCACGUACAAGCAACACAAAUGUGGAUCAUCUUUAUUGUGAGUUGUGUAUUCUGAAGAAGUGUCUGAAUGAUUUAUCUGAAGAGUUAAUGUGUUCACUGAAGAGGUCAUCAAAGGAACUUGAAUGAUCACAGCCACAUCUUAGAUAUCACUGCCUGCCUUGGAACAAUUGCAGAGAUGUCUAGCUGGUUCUGCUGGGCAUGGAUCUUGGCAUUCUCGUUGUGGCCUCAUCGUAACCCAGUGACAGGUUGUUCAAGCAGUGCUCUUGCCUCAUAGCAUGAAAGGGGGGUUUCCACAAUGUGCCUCUGCCUCGUGUGUCAGGGGAGCUGGAUUUGGCAGCAAACAGGAAAACUGAUCUGUUUGAUAGGAGAAGAGGAAAAUGGGGAGGUUUGUCCCACAUCAGAGAGCCUAGUAGAAUGGUAUUCUAGGAUAUCACUGUCUCCCUUUUGGAACUGUUCUGAAAAUAAGGACAUUGUCUUUUCUUGGGGCAGGAUGUAGGAAAGCAUUAAUGUGGGUGUGUAUUCAUUUUAUAUGUAGCAGUACUACCAGCUUGUUCUGUGCUAAGCUGGUGGUCAGCCUCUGGAGUUCCCAGUGCGUGUGUUUCAGGGAUUUAUGUUUGUUUAUAUAUGUAGAAGAUCUCCUCCAUUAAUUUUAUAGGCAGCUACAGCACUAAUAUCUGAAGAGUCUGUUAUGUACCUAAGACACCAAAGAACUGAAUGCUGAAAUAAGCUAUUGUAUUCCUUAGGGCUAUAGAUUUUACCAGGCAUCUGAUGCCCACCCCAGGAAAACAACCCUUUGAUUUCAGGAGGAUUUUCAAGGACCUUGAGUUUCUGAAGUGCUUAGAACGAGAUUCACUUCCCCCCGCUCUCCAUUUUUUUUUUUAAUUCUCUUCUCUGAAG